CCGGCCACCGCCCCAGCCUGUCGAUCUCAUCUCCCUGUGAUUUUUUAUCAGCUGUCGGGGGGAGAAAAAUCUUCCCUGUUCUUAUCCCCUCGUCGCCCUGCUCAGAUUUUCUAGCCACCGCUGUACUGAUAUUUUGGCGCGCGAUGCCUAUUCCUUGCGCGCUCCUCUCUGCCGAGCGGCUUCUUCACGCGUGUCUCUCUCUCCCUGGUGCCUGCUCGCGACAAGCUCCUGCUCCCUUCCGUGGUCGCGUGCUCAGCUCUACUGCAGGCCGCGCCCAGCUUCUCUCCCUCGGCGCUCACAGCUCUCUCUCUCCCCUAGUCCCUGCCAUGGCCGCCGUUCCCUGGUCGGAGUUUCUUCUAGCUCGGAUCUCCUCCCUACGGCGCCCGAGCUCCAUGGCUGCUGCGUUCUUCAGCCGACGCGUCCUGCCGAGUCCCUCUCCAUCCCCACGGCGUCCUGCUUGCCCAGCUUUCAUCCAUGGCCGGAGCCCUCCCAUGUCACGUCCCAGCCAAGCCCCUGCCUCGAUCCCUGUUCGGGCCUGGCGGUUGCGCUGCUCUGGUGCCCAGGUUCUAGCGCGCUCGUUAUCAGCUCGACAUCUCCUCGAGCUCGCCCCUGUCUUCCUGCUCGGCGCCCAAAUUCCUGCUCGCCUUUGCGUCGCGCGCGUAGCGUUCCGUUGUUCCUACGUGUGCUGCCGCGAAGCUCUCUAUUCAGUUCGCCUCCAUCGCGUUGUCGUGCGCGCGAAAUUGCUCGCUCCCCACUAUCGUCGUUUCCUCGUGCCCGCUGGUCGUGCGCCCCUGCAGCUCCCUAUUCGGCAAAAUGUGUGGACCAGUGCUCAUCGCGUGUUGGGAAGAUCGGCACCGAUGUUCUUGCCAAAUAUUGAUUGUUUGAUUUUGGGGAGAUCGACGCACGCAUGGUGUUCGAUGAAUGGCUCAAACCGGAUAGCCUUGUCGAAAUCAUAGCUCCGAGUCGAUUCGGACAUGGUACGUGAAUUAACCACGCGAUGCGGAGAACCAGAACUGAUCGACCACAAGAUGGUGCUGAUGAACGGAACUGGAGAUGGACAGACGAAGCAAGUAUCGGGACAAAGGAUGGUCUUCAAGUGAUCGACACCUAACAAACACUAACCUAGUGUUACCCAGGUACGUGAAUUAACCACGCGAUGCGGAGAACCAGAACUGAUCGACCACAAGAUGGUGCUGAUGAACGGAACUGGAGAUGGACAGACGAAGCAAGUAUCGGGACAAAGGAUGGUCGUCAAGUGAUCGACACCUAACAAACACUAACCUAGUGUUACCCAGGUUCUAACCUUAUGCUGCUGUGAUGGUGUUAAGUGCCGGUGGGCUCGGCCUUCUUAUAAGUCUAAGUACUUCUUCUAUACUUCUUAUUGAGGAUGGUCCCAUGAGCUAGCAUAUAUUUCAAACUUAUACUUUUGUAACCACUCCGAUAAAAUAAUGUAAAUUUUUUGUAACUUGUAAAAUUUGGUAAUAGUAUUUCCGCUGCAAAAAUUAUUGGUGUGUGUGAUUUGUGUUACUUAAUCCCGCGGUUCUGGUUGUAAGUGGUUUAUCCAAUGUCCUUGGGGCAAUCGGACGGAUCCUGUUAAGUUAUAUGGUGCACAUGCAUGCCAUCUGAGGUCUUCGAGACGAGGACAGGUGCAUGUGGGCCCAAUAACUUGGGAGGUUCUGCCACAGUAACGGCCGUCAGCUAAAGACGACUGCAGACGGUCCUUUGCCGAGCGUCUAGGUUUGCCGAGUGUUUCCCUGUGUCGAGUGUCCGCCGGACUAGCGCUCGGCAACGAGGUCGCCAGCGGGCCCCUUUGUCAGCACCUUUGCCGAGUGCACUAGGAGGCACUCGGCAAAGGUUGUUUCUUUGCCGAGUGCCGAG
RNAcentral lists this unclassified non-coding RNA (1878 nucleotides) under Zea mays. RNAcentral's name for it is "misc RNA Zm00001eb302730". Lineage: Eukaryota; Viridiplantae; Streptophyta; Magnoliopsida; Poales; Poaceae. The record is from RNAcentral.